CAGAGCGUAACGCCCUGAAAAAAACAAAAACUCGGUGGCGGGAAAAGAGAGAGAAAGAAAGAGAGUAAGAGAGAAUCUCCCUCCCUCCCUCUCUCUCUCUCUCUCUCUCUUUCCCCGCUGCUUGGGUAGAUAGGACCCGUACCCCAAAACCAAAGAAUUUUUAUGGCCUUUUCUGGUGAUAUACAAAACUUUCA
RNAcentral lists this unclassified non-coding RNA (194 nucleotides) under uncultured fungus. RNAcentral describes it as "sequence contains ITS1, 5.8S rRNA gene". Lineage: Eukaryota; Fungi. The record is from RNAcentral.